GCCUCCGGAGAAGUACUCCUGAUACCCGGCUUCGUAAGGAGGACGUGAAGGCGGUUUUGGUGGUGGAUACGAUGGAUAUCCGUGUGGGUGUUGAGGAUAUCCUUCGUGAUGAUGCGACGGAGGAUAUACCGGAGGCGGAGGUGCUGAUGGAUAACCCGGCGGUGGAGGAUACUGAGAUUGGUAACCUAACCGAUUUUGAUCAAAACGAGAUGGAAGAUUUAGAGUGGAUCAAAAGGUUUCGUUCUUCUAAUGCAACAGAAUCACAGAAGGGAUCAUAAGGAUAUUACAAACCUGGAGGAGGAUACGUUUCAGGCGGAACCUUCUCGUAGCUCAUUUUGAUCUAAGAAAGAAGAAAAACUUGUUGUUGUUUGGUCUGAGGAGAAUCAGACUCGGGAUUAACGAGGAAAUGAUAUAUACGUACGAGGUUUGUCGGAGAAGAUCUGCCGACGCUUUUCCAAUUAUAUCUAUACACGUGACGAAUUAUGAAUGGGUGAAUGAUCUCUCGAUAAUGUAGAAGAUAUUCCAAUAAGCAAAUAUAGCAGUGAACACGUCCAUCAUAGACAUGGGCCUUCACUCAUUCAUAGCUCAGUUACCCAAUAAUCUAAUAUCUCCCUCCAACAUGUAUUUUAGGAAAAAAUUGGAAAAAUACACACAUAAUUUUUUUUAAUAUGAGUCAGUUUGUUUCAGCUUGUUUUCUGUGAAUAUACAUAGAAUUGAGAGAACAACUUGCGGUGAUGAUAACUCACUAUAAAAUGAUGUGUUAGACGUUGUUCUCUCAGUUCUUGAACAACAAACGUUGUUUUUUUCAUGAUAUGGUUUCGAUAUGAUGGAGCAAAACGAGAUCUGAGUUAGUUAAAUAGUUGAAUAUAAUCAAAUAUAUAUCUAUCCUGCAAAAAUCGACUUAAAAUCAACUAAAAGAAAUUAAUAUAGCAGGUUCGACGUUUGGUAACACUUAGGCUGCAGCUGGAUCAACAAAAUUUGGAAUUGGAAUACUUGGAAUGAGUCAUUCCUUUUGAUUCCGAAAAAAUAACACCAGUUAUAGUGAAAGAUCAUUCAUAAAGCAUUCCUAAAUUUUUUUUGGAAUAAAUGGAAAGAGAACAAUUUCUUAACAAAAUCAUUCAGCAACGUAAAAGUUGAGUAAUAAAUGGAAUGCCUAAUUUUAUUUUUAAUUCAAUUAAUACUUAAUUUUAUAACUACUUUACUUCUAUUCCAUUCAUAUUCAUUCCAUUCAUCAUUUCAAUUCCUUUUGUUCAUGCUAUUCCAUGAAAUGGUUUCCAGUUCCACCCUAACAUUUCCAGUUCCAAACCCUUCUGGAAUAUUGGUACCUGAACUCAGUGUCUUACCACACUAACAUUCAAGUAAGUCUAUUUCCAAUCAUAAUUCAUGGGAUUCAGUAAAUAACGAAAGAUAAUUUCUUAUUGCAUACAAAUUCAUAUGUAUGAAGUAUAAUAAUUUUCGUCAAGUGCACAUAACUGAACUGAAAGUCAAAGAAAGUGUAAUUUAUUAAAAUAUUUAAUAUAUUAAUCUGGAUAAAAAUGUUUUUUCACAUAUGAUAAAAUGUAAUUUUCAGAAAAUAAAAGGCAUAAUUUUAAACAUUUAAACUAUAAUUAGUAGAGUACUUUUCAGAUUAUCCCUCUAUUUUAACACAAUUUUUAAAAUAUUAUUUUGCUUCAGAAUGGUACACCAACAGUAACACACUAAAUUUUUGGCACCACAUACAUGCAAUUAAGAUCAAACAAACAUGUUUUUCUUUAUUACAAAAUACCAUGUAACAAGAAUGAGACUAGAUGAUUGAUAGAAGAAGAAAAAUUGUUUGAAAAUAUUUUCUGGCUGUAAAUCUUUCAUUCUUCGAAGAGGAAAGUU
Molecule: long non-coding RNA, 1863 nt
Organism: Brassica napus (rape)
Lineage: Eukaryota; Viridiplantae; Streptophyta; Magnoliopsida; Brassicales; Brassicaceae
Exons: 2
Source: RefSeq, a predicted model, not a curated record